AAUAAGCGGAGGAAAAGAAACCAACAGGGAUUGCCCUAGUAACGGCGAGUGAAGCGGCAACAGCUCAAAUUUGAAAUCUGGCUCUUUCAGAGUCCGAGUUGUAAUUUGCAGAGGGCGCUUUGGCUUUGGCAGCGGUCCAAGUUCCUUGGAACAGGACGUCACAGAGGGUGAGAAUCCCGUACGUGGUCGCUAGCUAUUGCCGUGUAAAGCCCCUUCGACGAGUCGAGUUGUUUGGGAAUGCAGCUCUAAAUGGGAGGUAAAUUUCUUCUAAAGCUAAAUAUUGGCCAGAGACCGAUAGCGCACAAGUAGAGUGAUCGAAAGAUGAAAAGCACUUUGGAAAGAGAGUCAAACAGCACGUGAAAUUGUUGAAAGGGAAGCGCUUGCAGCCAGACAUGCUUGCAGUUGCUCAUCCGGGCUUUUGCCCGGUGCACUCUUCUGUAGGCAGGCCAGCAUCAGUUUGGGCGGUGGGAUAAAGGUCUCUGUCACGUACCUCUCUUCGGGGAGGCCUUAUAGGGGAGACGACAUACCACCAGCCUAGACUGAGGUCCGCGCAUCUGCUAGGAUGCUGGCGUAAUGGCUGUAAGCGGCCCGUCUUGAAACACGGACCAAGGAGUCUAACAUCUAUGCGAGUGUUUGGGUGUCAAGCCCGAGCGCGUAAUGAAAGUGAACGGAGGUGGGAACCCGCAAGGGUGCACCAUCGACCGAUCCUGAAGUUUACGGAAGGAUUUGAGUAAGAGCAUGGCUGUUGGGACCCGAAAGAUGGUGAACUAUGCUUGAAUAGGGUGAAGCCAGAGGAAACUCUGGUGGAGGCUCGCAGCGGUUCUGACGUGCAAAUCGAUCGUCAAAUUUGGGCAUAGGGGCGAAAGACUAAUCGAACUAUCUAGUAGCUGG
Molecule: ribosomal RNA, 891 nt
Filed under: Bipolaris sp.
Lineage: Eukaryota; Fungi; Ascomycota; Dothideomycetes; Pleosporales; Pleosporaceae
Description: partial large subunit ribosomal RNA
Rfam family: Eukaryotic large subunit ribosomal RNA
Source: RNAcentral